GUCCUCGCGCGGUUCAGCUCCUGGGCGACAGCGUAACCCGUCGCUCCUCCCUCUGCGGGAGGGCGUGGACGGGGCACGGGAUUUGGAGCAUGGAAGGAAUCGGGACCUAAAGGUUCUACUGACCCAAGGAAAGGACUGUUUGAAGAUGAAGAAGUUGUAUGUCAGUACACGGGUGGGGAGGAUCCUGUAGACAGGAAAAACCGAAGUUGUAGCAGAGCGAUAGGGAAAGUUUCUGGAGUCAUGUUCUUCAGAAGGUGAGCGAGAGGGUCAAGUUCACAAACAGAGGAAUUGCCUUACACAGGGGCAGGGACAGUUCCCGAAUAAUAAUUGGGAGAGAAGGCAGAGUGAGCGGGCAUGGGUCGAGGGAGCUGGGGAGCUGUGGGAUAUCUCUUUGUUGCUUCUGUUGUCCAGUGGUAUAAGAAACAAGAACAUGUGUUGUCAAACUCUUCGUGGGAAUAAAAAAUCAAGAUCACUCUCUAAGAGUGAGGAUGAAGAAGAAACUAGGAAUUUGAGGAGCAAAAAGAUAGGAAAUAGGCAUUCAGGAGAGAGGAAUGGACUAGGAGGGGAGAUCAAGAGACUGAGAGGCCAGUGGCCUGGAAGAUUCAUUUACCUGGAUAUUUAAAUCAGCAGGAAUGGGCCGGGUGCAGUGGCUCACUCCUGUAAUCCCAGCAUUUUGGGAGGCCAAGGCUGGUGGAUCACCUGAGAUCAGGAGUUCAAGACCAGCCUGACCAACAUGGAGAAAUUCUGUCUCUACUAAAAAUACCAAAAUUAGCCAGGCUUAGUGGUGCAUGCCUGUAAUCCCAGCUACUCGGGAGGCUGAGGUAGGAGAAUCGCUUGAACCCGGGAGGCAGAGGUUGUGGUGAGCCAAGAUUGUGCCAUUGCACUGCAGCCUGGGCAACAAGAGUGACACUCCGAU
Molecule: long non-coding RNA, 916 nt
Filed under: Homo sapiens (human)
Lineage: Eukaryota; Metazoa; Chordata; Mammalia; Primates; Hominidae
Description: HSALNT0015085
Source: RNAcentral